This 230-nucleotide ribosomal RNA is filed under the name uncultured bacterium. Its description in RNAcentral is "partial 16S ribosomal RNA". It matches the Rfam family "Bacterial small subunit ribosomal RNA", at positions 27 to 256 of the family's 1533-position model. The record is from RNAcentral.
GGAUGAACGCUAGCGGCAGGCCUAAUACAUGCAAGUCGAACGGUAAGCUGGGUAGUAAUAUUCAGCCAAGAGUGACGUACGGGUGCGUAACACGUAUGCAACCUACCCUUUACAGAUGGAUAGCUCGGGGAAACUCGAAUUAACCCGUCAUAAAUAAUUGGAUGGCAUCAUUUGAUUAUUAAACUGAGGUGGUAAAGGAUGGGCAUGCGUCUGAUUAGUUAGUUGGGGGU